AAAAGAGAUUCGGUAACCGACUGUCCCUGGAGCAAGUGGCAAAGGGCUUGGUGUUUGGUAUCCGAGACCCAAGAUCGAAUUCUAGUUGAUUCACAUUUUCAACUAAGUUUAUUUCUAAAUGAAAUAACGAAGUGGGUUGCGUGCUACUUAUCUCUCUCAAAAAAAAAAAAAGAUUCGGCAGAUAUUAGCUUGAUAUUUUGGUCGUCUAAUAUAAAAUGUUAAGAUUUUGAACAGAGAUGAAAAUUUUGUACUUUUCG
Molecule: long non-coding RNA, 257 nt
Filed under: Ananas comosus (pineapple)
Lineage: Eukaryota; Viridiplantae; Streptophyta; Magnoliopsida; Poales; Bromeliaceae
Description: long non-coding RNA (ACOM_LNC019136)
Source: RNAcentral